GACGAACGCUGGCGGCGUGCUUAACACAUGCAAGUCGAACGGAAAGGCCCUGCUUUUGUGGGGUGCUCGAGUGGCGAACGGGUGAGUAACACGUGUGUAACCUGCCCUUGACUUUGGGAUAACUUCAGGAAACUGGGGCUAAUACCGGAUAGGAGCUCCUGCUGCAUGGUGGGGGUUGGAAAGUUUCGGCGGUUGGGGCUGGACUCGCGGCUUAUCAGCUUGUUUGUGGGGUAGUGGCUUACCAAGGCUUUGACGGGUAGCCGGCCUGAGAGGGUGACCGGCCACAAUGGGACUGAGAUACGGCCCAGACUCCUACGGGAGGCAGCAGUGGGGAAUAUUGCACAAUGGGCGGAAGCCUGAUGCAGCAACGCCGCGUGCGGGAUGACGGCCUACGGGUUGUAAACCGCUUUCGCCUGUGACGAAGCGUGAGUGACGGUAAUGGGUAAAGAAGCACCGGCUAACUACGUG
RNAcentral lists this ribosomal RNA (468 nucleotides) under uncultured bacterium. RNAcentral's name for it is "partial 16S ribosomal RNA". It matches the Rfam family "Bacterial small subunit ribosomal RNA", at positions 28 to 507 of the family's 1533-position model. The record is from RNAcentral.